AUAGCGUAUAUUAAAGUUGUUGCAGUUAAAAAGCUCGUAGUUGAAUUUUGGACCUGGCUGGGUGGUCUUGCCGAAAGGUAAGCACUGCUCUGGUCGGGUCUUUCCUUCUGGAGAACCAGCGUGCUCUUAACUGGGUGCGCUGGGGAUCCAGGACUUUUACUUUGAAAAAAUUAGAGUGUUUAAAGCAGGCCUACGCUUGAAUACAUUAGCAUGGAAUAAUAGAAUAGGACUUUGGUUCUAUUUUGUUGGUUUCUAGGACCGAAGUAAUGAUUAAUAGGGAUAGUUGGGGGCAUUAGUAUUUAAUUGUCAGAGGUGAAAUUCUUAGAUUUAUGAAAGACUAACUUCUG
Molecule: ribosomal RNA, 347 nt
Filed under: uncultured eukaryote
Lineage: Eukaryota
Description: SSU rRNA
Rfam family: Eukaryotic small subunit ribosomal RNA
Source: RNAcentral